Long non-coding RNA from Panthera uncia (snow leopard), 377 nucleotides. RefSeq lists it as uncharacterized. The record is from RefSeq and is a predicted model, not a curated record. NCBI's taxonomy places the organism in Eukaryota, Metazoa, Chordata, Mammalia, Carnivora, Felidae. The transcript is spliced from 4 exons.
CUUGCCUUGAAAUAAGAAAAGCUCUUCUUCCCAGAAUCCAAUCUAGUCAGACUUCUGAACUAGAUGACACACUCCUCCUUAGGAAGAUAAGCAAACUACUAUAUGAAAGACAAAAGAGGGAGAUAAAUGACUUCUUUGCAACAAACUAAACAUAUAGGUACUAUAGCAAUGAAGAUUUACAAAGUGCUAAUGUGAUGGCUCCACUUCUGGCACGAAGCCCAACGUGGAGCUUGAAAUCACAACCCUAAGAUCAAGACAUCAGCUGAGAUCAAGAGUAGGACACUUAACUGACUGAGCCACCCAGGCCUAUCUUCUCCACAUUGCUUUAAAGGUAAUACCUUGAGAACAACUCUUAGAAGCAGAAGAAUAAGCAUGUU